GGACUACCCGGGUAUCUAAUCCUGUUUGCUCCCCACGCUUUCGUGCCUCAGCGUCAGUUAUGGACCAGUGAGCCGCCUUCGCCACUGGUGUUCUUGCGAAUAUCUACGAAUUUCACCUCUACACUCGCAGUUCCACUCACCUCUUCCAUACUCAAGAUUCCCAGUAUCAAAGGCAGUUCUGGAGUUGAGCUCCAGGAUUUCACCUCUGACUUAAAAACCCGCCUACGCACCCUUUACGCCCAGUGAUUCCGAGCAACGCUAGCCCCCUUCGUAUUACCGCGGCUGCUGGCAC
This 292-nucleotide ribosomal RNA is filed under the name uncultured bacterium. RNAcentral describes it as "partial 16S ribosomal RNA". The record is from RNAcentral.